This 514-nucleotide ribosomal RNA is filed under the name Liposcelis brunnea. Its description in RNAcentral is "partial 16S ribosomal RNA". It matches the Rfam family "Bacterial large subunit ribosomal RNA", at positions 1829 to 2597 of the family's 2925-position model. Lineage: Eukaryota; Metazoa; Arthropoda; Insecta; Psocodea; Liposcelididae. The record is from RNAcentral.
GUCUUUUUGAGUUAUUUUUAAAGUCUGACCUGCCCACUGAAAGUAUUUAAAGGGCCGCAGUAUUCUAACUGUGCAAAGGUAGCAUAAUCAUUAGUCUUUUAAUUGGAGGCUGGUAUGAACGGUUGGACGAGGUAUAAGCUGUUUCAUAUAAAUUUAUAAUAGAAUUUUAUAUUUUAGUUAAAAAGCUAAAAUGAUAUUAAAAGACGAGAAGACCCUAUAAAUCUUUAUACUUUACUUUAUUUAAGUUUUGUGGAUUUAUUUUACUUUUAUAGUGAGGGGUAUUUUAUUGGGGUGAUAUUAAAAUUUAAUUAACUUUUAAUUGUUAUGAAAUCAUUGAUUUAUGGUUUAUUGAUCCGUUAUUGGCGAUUAUGAGAUUAAGUUACUUUAGGGAUAACAGCGUAAUUUUUUUGGAGAGUUCUUAUCGAUAAAAGAGUUUGCGACCUCGAUGUUGGAUUAAGAGAUAUUUUUAGGUGUAGCCGCUUAAAUGUAGAGUCUGUUCGACUUUUAAAUUCUU